UGGGGAAUAUUGGACAAUGGGCGCAAGCCUGAUCCAGCCAUGCCGCGUGAGUGAUGAAGGCCCUAGGGUUGUAAAGCUCUUUCACCGGUGAAGAUAAUGACGGUAACCGGAGAAGAAGCCCCGGCUAACUUCGUGCCAGCAGCCGCGGUAAUACGAAGGGGGCUAGCGUUGUUCGGAUUUACUGGGCGUAAAGCGCACGUAGGCGGACUUUUAAGUCAGGGGUGAAAUCCCGGGGCUCAACCCCGGAACUGCCUUUGAUACUGGAAGUCUUGAGUAUGGUAGAGGUGAGUGGAAUUCCGGGUGUAGAGGUGAAAUUCGUAGAUAUUCGGAGGAACACCAGUGGCGAAGGCGGCUCACUUGACCAUUACUGCCGCUGAGGUGCGAAAGCGUGGGGAGCAAACAGG
RNAcentral lists this ribosomal RNA (404 nucleotides) under Actinomycetes bacterium. RNAcentral describes it as "Actinobacteria bacterium partial 16S ribosomal RNA". It matches the Rfam family "Bacterial small subunit ribosomal RNA", at positions 355 to 776 of the family's 1533-position model. Lineage: Bacteria; Bacillati; Actinomycetota; Actinomycetes. The record is from RNAcentral.